Perognathus longimembris pacificus (Pacific pocket mouse) is the source of this 107-nucleotide small nuclear RNA. The record is from RefSeq and is a predicted model, not a curated record. Lineage: Eukaryota; Metazoa; Chordata; Mammalia; Rodentia; Heteromyidae.
GUGCUGGCUUAGGCAGCACAUAUGGUAAAAUUGGGAAAAUACAGAGAAGAUUAGCAUGGUUCCUACUCAAGGAUGAUACUCAAAUUUGUGAAGCUUUCACUAUUUGU